AACUAUAUUGCAUAACCAGGCAG
This 23-nucleotide non-coding RNA is filed under the name Cricetulus griseus (Chinese hamster). The record is from RNAcentral. Lineage: Eukaryota; Metazoa; Chordata; Mammalia; Rodentia; Cricetidae.